CACUCUCGGGUCAGAGCUCCGGCGCAUCUACAACUCCCCGGUGUUCAUGGCGGAGCGUCUGAAGAGGCCCCUGGACGGACAGUCUGUGCGGAUCGGGCCCCUCAGCCACUCUGGGAGUCAGAGUGACGCUGGCGGAUGGCUCCCAGUGGCUCGUCCAUAAGGGAGGAAACUACGGCGUCUCCUCCAACACCGUGGUGGUCGCCGCCCGGCACAUGAGCCCCGCCUGGCAGGUCGUUCGGACGCUGGAUUUCCGGGGGACGAAGAAAGUCGCUGACUUCGUGGCGGGUCGGCGGCACCGACUACAGCCUCUUCUUCGAUAACUGUCACCUGGCAUCUCGGAGGAUGAUGGGACAGUAAUAAAGAGAUCCAUAAUUUGUCA
Long non-coding RNA from Trematomus bernacchii (emerald rockcod), 379 nucleotides. RefSeq lists it as uncharacterized. The record is from RefSeq and is a predicted model, not a curated record. NCBI's taxonomy places the organism in Eukaryota, Metazoa, Chordata, Actinopteri, Perciformes, Nototheniidae. The transcript is spliced from 3 exons.